This 1165-nucleotide ribosomal RNA is filed under the name Escherichia coli. RNAcentral describes it as "partial 23S ribosomal RNA". It matches the Rfam family "Bacterial large subunit ribosomal RNA", at positions 144 to 1346 of the family's 2925-position model. Lineage: Bacteria; Pseudomonadati; Pseudomonadota; Gammaproteobacteria; Enterobacterales; Enterobacteriaceae. The record is from RNAcentral.
CACACUAUCAUUAACUGAAUCCAUAGGUUAAUGAGGCGAACCGGGGGAACUGAAACAUCUAAGUACCCCGAGGAAAAGAAAUCAACCGAGAUUCCCCCAGUAGCGGCGAGCGAACGGGGAGCAGCCCAGAGCCUGAAUCAGUGUGUGUGUUAGUGGAAGCGUCUGGAAAGGCGCGCGAUACAGGGUGACAGCCCCGUACACAAAAAUGCACAUGCUGUGAGCUCGAUGAGUAGGGCGGGACACGUGGUAUCCUGUCUGAAUAUGGGGGGACCAUCCUCCAAGGCUAAAUACUCCUGACUGACCGAUAGUGAACCAGUACCGUGAGGGAAAGGCGAAAAGAACCCCGGCGAGGGGAGUGAAAAAGAACCUGAAACCGUGUACGUACAAGCAGUGGGAGCACAGAGCAAUCUGUGUGACUGCGUACCUUUUGUAUAAUGGGUCAGCGACUUAUAUUCUGUAGCAAGGUUAACCGAAUAGGGGAGCCGAAGGGAAACCGAGUCUUAACUGGGCGUUAAGUUGCAGGGUAUAGACCCGAAACCCGGUGAUCUAGCCAUGGGCAGGUUGAAGGUUGGGUAACACUAACUGGAGGACCGAACCGACUAAUGUUGAAAAAUUAGCGGAUGACUUGUGGCUGGGGGUGAAAGGCCAAUCAAACCGGGAGAUAGCUGGUUCUCCCCGAAAGCUAUUUAGGUAGCGCCUCGUGAAUUCAUCUCCGGGGGUAGAGCACUGUUUCGGCAAGGGGGUCAUCCCGACUUACCAACCCGAUGCAAACUGCGAAUACCGGAGAAUGUUAUCACGGGAGACACACGGCGGGUGCUAACGUCCGUCGUGAAGAGGGAAACAACCCAGACCGCCAGCUAAGGUCCCAAAGUCAUGGUUAAGUGGGAAACGAUGUGGGAAGGCCCAGACAGCCAGGAUGUUGGCUUAGAAGCAGCCAUCAUUUAAAGAAAGCGUAAUAGCUCACUGGUCGAGUCGGCCUGCGCGGAAGAUGUAACGGGGCUAAACCAUGCACCGAAGCUGCGGCAGCGACACUAUGUGUUGUUGGGUAGGGGAGCGUUCUGUAAGCCUGUGAAGGUGUACUGUGAGGUAUGCUGGAGGUAUCAGAAGUGCGAAUGCUGACAUAAGUAACGAUAAAGCGGGUGAAAAGCCCGCUCGCCGGAAGACC